CUUAUGUGUGAGAUGUGAAGGGGAAAUCCCAGGAUUUGGUGGAGAAGAAGCACAGUUCAAUUUGACGCCCGCCAGGUGUUCGACGAAAUGUUCGAAUUGGGUUUCGUCAUUGAUAUUGUGGAUUUGAGUCGCGUUUUGUAUUGAAAAACAAGAAUCGUGAGUGCAAUGGCAAAUGGAAGGUGAAGGCCCUUUUGAUUGACAACUUAGGAAAAGAUGGAAUGGAACUCAAAUUUUGGUGGUCGGUCAAGUGUGUAGAGUUGAAAUCAUAUAUACUUAGUUAGGCUCAAAUUUAGCGCAAACUGUUGGUGACCAUGUUUUUCGGUUAGUAUUUUAGUUUUUAAAUUGGAUUUAAAGUACACUUAUGUAUGAGUUAUUUAGGAAUGCUUAUUUAUGUGAUAUUGAAUGAUACUUAUCUACAUUAUAUUAACUAUAGUGUUAUUAAAUAUAUGUGUGUAU
This is a long non-coding RNA of Zea mays, 456 nucleotides long. RefSeq lists it as uncharacterized. The record is from RefSeq and is a predicted model, not a curated record. The transcript is spliced from 3 exons. Lineage: Eukaryota; Viridiplantae; Streptophyta; Magnoliopsida; Poales; Poaceae.